CUUGGACCAACUGAUAUGGCCAAUCGCUUAAAAGUGAUCAAUUCUUUUGGCAUGCAUGCCAAGUAUAAUUCAAAAUACGAUAUCGUCAUGAGAUUUGGGUUUUUAAUUAUUUCAGUUCUUUUUGGUGUUAUUCAGUUAAGUGCGUCACAAUCACCAGAAAUGUGUCGACAAUCGCCAUUCAGAGGACCUUGUGCUUUGGAACUUAGACGUUGGUAUUACAAUAUGGAUAUCGAAAAAUGUGAUACAUUUAUAUACGGCGGUUGCGAAACUAACGGAAAUAUGUUCAAAACAGAAUAUUUAUGCAAACGGACGUGCAUUUGAAUGGAAUAUUCUCUACGUAUUCGUAUCUGUGUUUAUUCGUUUUAAAUAUGUUUAUUAAUUUGUUUAUUCGUUUUCAAAUAUUUUGUUUGUACAAUAAUCAAAUGUUUUGGAAUCAAUCA
This is a long non-coding RNA of Contarinia nasturtii (swede midge), 440 nucleotides long. RefSeq lists it as uncharacterized. NCBI's taxonomy places the organism in Eukaryota, Metazoa, Arthropoda, Insecta, Diptera, Cecidomyiidae. The transcript has 2 exons. The record is from RefSeq and is a predicted model, not a curated record.